GCCCGUUUGGCUUAGUGGUACAGCGUCUCACUCGUAUCUACUACGGAAUGAGAAGAUCCGCGGUUCGAUUCCGCGAAUGGGCA
Non-coding RNA from Xylogone sp. PMI_703, 83 nucleotides. NCBI's taxonomy places the organism in Eukaryota, Fungi, Ascomycota, Leotiomycetes. The record is from the annotation of a GenBank genome assembly.